UACGAAGGGGGCUAGCGUUGCUCGGAAUCAUUGGGCGUAAAGCGCACGUAGGCGGGUCGGUAAGUCGGGGGUGAAAUCCUGGAGCUCAACUCCAGAACUGCCUUCGAUACUGGCGAUCUUGAGUCUGGGAGAGGUGAGUGGAACUCCGAGUGUAGAGGUGAAAUUCGUAGAUAUUCGGAAGAACACCAGUGGCGAAGGCGGCUCACUGGCCCGGUACUGACGCUGAGGUGCGAAAGCGUGGGGAGCAAACAGG
RNAcentral lists this ribosomal RNA (253 nucleotides) under uncultured bacterium. RNAcentral's name for it is "partial 16S ribosomal RNA". It matches the Rfam family "Bacterial small subunit ribosomal RNA", at positions 524 to 776 of the family's 1533-position model. The record is from RNAcentral.